GCUCCAGUGGCGCAAUCCGUUAGCGCACGGUACUUAUAAUGCCGAGGUUGUGAGUUCGAGCCUCACCUGGAGCA
Molecule: non-coding RNA, 74 nt
Organism: Sorex fumeus (smoky shrew)
Lineage: Eukaryota; Metazoa; Chordata; Mammalia; Eulipotyphla; Soricidae
Source: the annotation of a RefSeq genome assembly